GGCGCACCUAGACGGCGGCCCCGAAGCCUAGCCGCAACAGCAGACUCGGGGCUCAAAAGCUGCGGCUCACCGAUCCGGUAGUUAUUGCCUUGACGACGCGUCUGCUGUUGUCAUACGUGCUGUCUACUUGCUACGCCCUAGUUUGCCAGACGACCUGAGACGAUGUACGUACCUGCCUGUCCCUAGACAACAGCACGUACUUAGCACGCGUGUAGUAGCACACACAUCGUGACGAGAUAACGAAAUAGGUAACCCGUUAGACGUCGUCAUAUAGAUGAACCGUUACUGUUUGUAUAUGACUAGCUACUAUAUGUGAACAUCUAAUACCACUUAACAUGAAUAGGCGCGAAUAGAAAACCAGACUUGUCUCGAACCGCUAGGUCUCCCACGACCAGAGACAGCCACCUGUAAGCUACUGUUUACUUUUUUUGUCUCCGUUGGUUAAGUCGCUCCGGCGGGUGGGUCGUUUUGCGUGGUUUCUUGGUUAAGAAAGAAAUGGUCUCUUCUUCUUCCGCUCCGGGUUAGAGUCGGCGGCAGGCAGGAAUGGACGGAUGCAGGCCGCCCGGCUACCCCCCGGGCUGGACUCCGCUGUACCGGGAGGGUUCUCUCUUCGUCCGCAGCCCCGACACGUCCGGCAGGUACCGCUACCUCUGCGGGCCCGUCCUUCCCGAGUUAGGCCUACUUGGUCGGGCGUGGCUCGGGCCGGCGGAGUUCUCCUCGAGCAGAGAGACGGACGGACGCCGAGUGGCCUCGACGGUAGCGGCCGCUGGCGGAGGGAGUGGAACACGGGGAAGAGGAAGCGGAAACAAGGAGAGAAGGGGCUCCUCGUCCCUCGGCCGCUUAGGCAGCCAGUCCUCGACCCGCCGCGCGGCCGCGGGAGGUAGUAGCGCCGGCAAACCCUUCCCUGCGCCAGGACCAGCUACGCCACACACCGUCCGCUGCGUCCCGUCCUCCACCGCCACCCUACUUCCAUGUACGCUACCCCGUGGCCGUUUGUCUCCGCCUGCUACCUCCACGACGUCCUCGCCGCGAGCUGACGCUCCACUCCUCCUCCUCGUCUCCUUCCCCUCCGACCUCCACUAGGAGCGACUGCUACCACCCUGCGUCCGCACUCGUCCUCCUACUCUCCUUUGCCCUGUCGCCGGACGACCACCGACGGCCACUGCGGCCCACCGCUCCCCAGCAGCCUCGCCGCAGCACGUGCGGCCGCGGUUCGCCGCCGCUCACCGGCAGCCACCUCAGAACCUUACCUAUUCCUUAUAUUCCCGACUGACGUCUGACGCCCGAUUUAAAAUUGAUUACGUCCCCGAGAAAACGUUGUUACUUUGCAAAAAAUCCUUGAGUGAACUAUUUCCUGACGCUCAACUUAAGUUGUUUGUUAUCCCCGAAAAAACUUUUGUACUGUUACUGCCUGCUGUUUUUGGAUUAAGAGAAAUAAUAAACCAUUUCUAUUUCUACUAGCAAAUCAAGACCAACGUCGGCAACUAUUACGCAGAUGCAUAAAAGAAAUGAUACCCAAUUAACAAUAUUGGGUAUCCAAUGAUCCUAAACACGAAAUUUACUAAAAGAAUGGGAAAACACGUUUACUCCGUGUUCUAGCUAGUGUAAAUACGUCUCAUAGGGCCGGGGCUUAAAAUGACCGUUCGUUGUGGUUAAACCUAAUAGGUCUAUUCGGUUGGUAUACAAACUAAUCCUUUGUCGCUUGGUCACAACAUAUAAAGAAGAAAAGGGGACUACUGGUACAAGCAAGAAGACCUGUCAACCUGUGCCGUAUAGAUAAACGGAAGAGGAUUACAUGUUCGGUAAAUUCUAAAAUAAGCAAAAGAUGAUUACAAUGAAGUAUACUCUAGUUCCAAUACUGUUAGACGUUAAAAAAGACGAUCGUA
This 1886-nucleotide ribosomal RNA is filed under the name Triticum aestivum (bread wheat). RNAcentral's name for it is "partial small subunit ribosomal RNA". Lineage: Eukaryota; Viridiplantae; Streptophyta; Magnoliopsida; Poales; Poaceae. The record is from RNAcentral.